AUCAAGUUGUCUAAAUCACCUCUUUAUUGAAUUCAUGCCAAAUAGUCUUCAUUACAUAGGAUGCCGAACGGCUGAAGCUUAACACUUGUACAAUGUGAGUUUACUUGUAAUAGUACUUUAAGUGAUCAGCGUUCCAUGGAUGGCCAAAAGGUCUUGCCAUCGGAGCUUCUAAGCUUGUAGGAGCCAGGGCGACUGAUGCCAACUUCAAACGGUCCAUCCCAGUUUGGACUAAGUGUUCCUUCACUCGGGACUCUGUCGCAGAGUAAUCUUUUCUUCUAUACCUAGUCCCCCACUUUGAAAGAACAAGGUUUGACCCUUGAGUCAUAGUAGUUGGAGAUGCGCUGCUUGUAGACGACAUUCCUCAAGUGAGCCUGGUUUCUGUGUUCCUCGACUAGAUCUAAGUUGAGGGUAAAUUAUUUGUCAUUUUCGCUUUGCACGUAGUUCUGGACUCAGAACGUUGCUUGUUCAAGCUCAACUGGG
Molecule: long non-coding RNA, 480 nt
Filed under: Malus domestica (apple)
Lineage: Eukaryota; Viridiplantae; Streptophyta; Magnoliopsida; Rosales; Rosaceae
Description: long non-coding RNA (MDOM_LNC012520)
Source: RNAcentral